Molecule: ribosomal RNA, 253 nt
Filed under: uncultured bacterium
Lineage: Bacteria
Description: partial 16S ribosomal RNA
Rfam family: Bacterial small subunit ribosomal RNA
Source: RNAcentral
UACGGGGGGGGCAAGCGUUGUUCGGAAUUACUGGGCGUAAAGGGCUCGUAGGCGGCCAACUAAGUCAGACGUGAAAUCCCUCGGCUUAACCGGGGAACUGCGUCUGAUACUGGAUGGCUUGAGGUUGGGAGAGGGAUGCGGAAUUCCAGGUGUAGCGGUGAAAUGCGUAGAUAUCAGGAAGAACACCCGUGGCUAAGGCGGCUCUCUAGUACGGUACUGACGCUGAGACGCGAAAGCGUGGGGAGCGAACAGG